Molecule: ribosomal RNA, 253 nt
Filed under: uncultured bacterium
Lineage: Bacteria
Description: partial 16S ribosomal RNA
Rfam family: Bacterial small subunit ribosomal RNA
Source: RNAcentral
UACGUAGGGUGCAAGCGUUGUCCGGAAUUAUUGGGCGUAAAGAGCUCGUAGGCGGUCUGUCGCGUCUGCUGUGAAAACUCAGGGCUUAACCCUGAGCUUGCAGUGGGUACGGGCAGACUAGAGUGCGGUAGGGGAGACUGGAAUUCCUGGUGUAGCGGUGAAAUGCGCAGAUAUCAGGAGGAACACCGGUGGCGAAGGCGGGUCUCUGGGCCGUAACUGACGCUGAGGCGCGAAAGCGUGGGUAGCAAACGGG